Molecule: small RNA, 432 nt
Filed under: Enterobacterales bacterium 8AC
Lineage: Bacteria; Pseudomonadati; Pseudomonadota; Gammaproteobacteria; Enterobacterales
Description: cspA
Rfam family: cspA thermoregulator
Source: RNAcentral
AUCGGUUUGUAGCACAGACCUUAUGAAAGCAGUUUUAGUAAAGCAGUUCUCAGUAUUAGUGAUAUCCGACAGAUACCUCUUCUUCCGCGAAUUCUCUUCUUUAGUGCCCCAUAAGUUUCCACUGAAUAGCAGACCUCACUCGCCACUAUGGCGGCCUAAAAAAUAAUGAAGGAAGUAUCUAUGUCUAAUAAAAUGACUGGUUUAGUAAAAUGGUUUGACGCUGGUAAAGGUUUUGGUUUUAUUUCCCCUGCUGACGGUAGCAAAGAUGUGUUUGUGCAUUUUUCUGCCAUUCAGGGGAAUGAUUAUAAAACGCUUGAUGAAGGCCAAAAGGUUGAGUUCACCAUCGAAAAUGGUGCUAAAGGCCCGUCAGCUGGCAACGUUACCGCGCUGUAAUCUGAGCUGGUAGGGUGAUAGAAACUUGCGACAGCGAUG